Molecule: long non-coding RNA, 87 nt
Organism: Gavialis gangeticus (Gharial)
Lineage: Eukaryota; Metazoa; Chordata; Crocodylia; Gavialidae
Exons: 3
Source: RefSeq, a predicted model, not a curated record
GCAAAACAUUUAUGUGAGGUGAAACAUUGAUAUUUGGCUUUUGUGUAUUCUGCCUGCCUAGGUUAGGAGCAGAACAGUGUCCUAAGC